CGCCCAAGCAGAAUUACCAUCAAACCCCUCUCCAUUAGAUUCGUAGAUCUACACCAAAAAAAAAAAAGAGGUAUUUACACCUCAACCUAGUGAUGGGGAGGGAAAACCCACUCUCCAAGCUAGGAAAAAGGCAUACGGGAGGCAUAUCUUCGGCAAGCUCCAAAGCAGUAGAAUCCGGGAGAACGAGAGAGAUUUAUCUCUCUAAAAUUAAAGAGAGCCUUUUUUUUAAUUUCUAUCAUUGGUGUUAAAACUGAAUA
RNAcentral lists this unclassified non-coding RNA (257 nucleotides) under Hevea brasiliensis (rubber tree). The record is from RNAcentral. Lineage: Eukaryota; Viridiplantae; Streptophyta; Magnoliopsida; Malpighiales; Euphorbiaceae.